RNAcentral lists this ribosomal RNA (253 nucleotides) under uncultured bacterium. RNAcentral describes it as "partial 16S ribosomal RNA". It matches the Rfam family "Bacterial small subunit ribosomal RNA", at positions 524 to 776 of the family's 1533-position model. The record is from RNAcentral.
UACGUAGGGGGCAAGCGUUGUCCGGAAUUACUGGGCGUAAAGCGCACGUAGGCGGCUUUGUAAGUCAGGGGUGAAAUCCCGGGGCUCAACCUCGGAACUGCCUUUGAUACUGCGAGUCUUGAGUCCGAUAGAGGUGGGUGGAAUUCCUAGUGUAGAGGUGAAAUUCGUAGAUAUUAGGAAGAACACCAGUGGCGAAGGCGGCCCACUGGAUCGGUACUGACGCUGAGGUGCGAAAGCGUGGGGAGCAAACAGG